This 1000-nucleotide long non-coding RNA is filed under the name Rhinopithecus bieti (black snub-nosed monkey). Its description in RNAcentral is "lncRNA (ENSRBIG00000045588.1)". The record is from RNAcentral. Lineage: Eukaryota; Metazoa; Chordata; Mammalia; Primates; Cercopithecidae.
UGUGGACUCAGGGCGCACUGCCUGUGAGUAGAGACAGACCAGCACAGAGCAAGAGCCCCAUGCCGAGAGGCAGCAGACUGGAGGGAUGCAGCCACCAGCCAGGGUGCACCCAGGGCCGCCAGCAGCCACUGUGUGGGAGAAGGGCAUGGGAGGAGCCCACUCUGCCCACACCUCACUGUCAGACCCUGGCCUCGGAGACAGAGAGAGAGCAGGUUCCUGUUGCCCCAAGCCAUGCAGUGUGCAGCACCCUGUUAUGGCAGCCACGGGAGACCAACGUUACCAUCCAGCUCAUGUCUCCGCCUCAGAGUUCACCUUCUUCCUUCUGAUGCGAGGAUGGCAUUCUGCAGACGCGGAAGACUUACUCCCUCGGAAGCCAAAACCACAAAGUGGGAUUCCUUCGGAGAGGGGAGACGCCCAGCACGCCGUUUGGAGGAGAGAGCCUGGCGUCCUUUCCCUACCUUCAUUUUGAGUACCCAGCUCCUAGCAAAUGUGUCUUCCUCCCAGGUUCUUUGGGGUAAAGAAUUUGGUGAGAAGGAGCCGAAUAUUACGGCUGCACUUCUCAGACACCUGCUCAGGGCCAAGCAUCCUCUCACCCUUUCUUUCAACUGGUAGCCAGAAAAUACGGGCUGAGCAUCAGGGAUUCUCAACCUCGUCAAGAUCCAGGCCCUGCCUGUUGUGACAGACAUUUCCUGAUGCCCUCUUGCUCUCUGGAAUGAAGGUCAUGGGCAGUAUUACCCACACAGCCAUUCAAAAUCAAUCGGCUUCAUGACCUGUUGUGAAAGGAUGGUGAUUGCCGUGCCAGCACGUGACAUGGACUCGGAUGCCUGCACACACAGGUACACCUUCCAGAAGGUGAAGUCAGCCCGAGUGCCCACCCCCAUGUGAGUGCGCAGCUGCACAAUGACCAGUUGCUGGAAUGUUCUGAACAGAGCCCAAUGCCACUGACUUUGAUGUGCGCUAUUGUCAGAUAUCCGGAAAAAUCAGAGUACAUUAAAUUCCU